UAAUACGUAGGUGGCGAGCGUUGUCCGGAUUUACUGGGCGUAAAGCGCGCGCAGGCGGACCGGUUAGUCCGGGGUGAAAUCUCACGGCUCAACUGUGAGAGGCCCUCGGAAACUGCCGGUCUUGAGGUGCCUAGAGGAGAGUGGAAUUCCCGGUGUAGUGGUGGAAUGCGUAGAUAUCGGGAGGAACACCAGUGGCGAAAGCGACUCUCUGGGGGCAACCUGACGCUGAGGCGCGAAAGCGUGGGGAGCGAACCGGAUUAGAUACCCGGGUAGUCCACGCCGUAAACGAUGAGUACUAGCUGUCGGGGGUAUCGACCCCCUCGGUAGCGAAGCUAACGCGAUAAGUACUCCGCCUGGGGACUACGGCCGCAAGGCUA
This 377-nucleotide ribosomal RNA is filed under the name uncultured Chloroflexota bacterium. RNAcentral describes it as "bacterial SSU rRNA". It matches the Rfam family "Bacterial small subunit ribosomal RNA", at positions 521 to 896 of the family's 1533-position model. The record is from RNAcentral. Lineage: Bacteria; Bacillati; Chloroflexota.